RNAcentral lists this ribosomal RNA (263 nucleotides) under Amaradix bitterrootensis. Its description in RNAcentral is "partial 12S ribosomal RNA". Lineage: Eukaryota; Metazoa; Arthropoda; Insecta; Siphonaptera; Ceratophyllidae. The record is from RNAcentral.
AGUAGUAAUAGAUAUAUGCUUGAAACUUAAAGAAUUUGGCGGUAUUUUAAUCUUUUCAGAGGAACCUGUUCUAUAAUCGAUAUUCCACGUUAAAUUUUACUAAAUUGUUUGUAUAUCGUUGUCGAAAGAAUAAAUUUUCUAAUAUUUUAAAGAAAAUAGAUGUCAAAUCAAGGUGUAGCUAAUAUUUUAGUAGAAAUGGGUUACAAUAAAUUUAUUUAGAAUAUUAUUAAAGGAGGAUUUGAAAGUAAAUUAAUUUUAAUAAA